This 1647-nucleotide unclassified non-coding RNA is filed under the name Monomorium pharaonis (pharaoh ant). Its description in RNAcentral is "dNA excision repair protein ERCC-1-like, transcript variant X1". Lineage: Eukaryota; Metazoa; Arthropoda; Insecta; Hymenoptera; Formicidae. The record is from RNAcentral.
CAAGAAUCGAGCCCCAGUACAACAGUGCAGCUAGAAAGAACAAACCAUUUAUCUAUCCAUGGCAAAAUGUAAUACUAUAGCGCAUGCGCUAUGGCUUCUGCAUUCUGCCUUAUGGCUCCUGUAAUUUUAUGUACUUCCACCUUUACAGUACACUGUUUUAAAAUAAAAAGAUUUAGUACAUUUAUUUUUGUGAAAUAAUCAUAUUGUCCCAGUAAUUUACGGGAGGGACGAGUGUUAUAUAAAAAAAAAAAAGAAUGGAUUCUACCAGGGCUAAAAAGAAAUCGAAAAAAUUUUGUUUUUGAAAGGAAUUAGUCAAAUAUACUUUUAUUAAAAUCUGAGAUAGAUAAACUGAACUAGAUAUAUUAUAGAAUCAUGUACAUAAAAAUAUUUAUAUAAUGAAUAACACAAAUGAAAAUACAGAAGAUUUGGAUGUAUCCACUUCAAAACAAACUAAAAAUACAUCUUUCCAAACUGCCUUUAGUAACUUGAAGAAAUCUGAAUUUUUCAAGGAUCUUUUAUUUUCUCAGCCUGAAACUUCUGUGGCAGCAGCUUUGAGCAAAAUCAACACUAUUCUUGUCAAUGUAAAGCAGAGAGGCAAUCCGUUAUUAAAGUUUAUAACAAACGUGUCAUGGGAAUAUUCCGACAUUGUGCCAGAUUAUGUAAUGGGAAAAACUACUUGUGCUCUUUUUUUAUCAAUUCGUUAUCAUCAAUUGAAUCCUGAUUAUAUUCAUGAAAGACUGAAAUUGCUGAACAAUACCUAUAAUUUGCGAGUGCUUUUAGUACAGAUUGAUGUCGCUGAUCCUCAUCAUGCUUUGAAACAUCUAACGAGAAUUUCCAUUCUGGCAGACAUGACGUUAAUGUUAGCAUGGAAUGCGGAAGAUGCAGGAAAAAUUAUUGAAACUUAUAAAAUAUAUGAAAACAAACCGCCUGAUGAUAUCAUGGAACGCAGUGAUACAGCACCUCAUCAAAAAAUUGGGCACCAAACACGAGCCGAGGCGCCGGCGCCGUUUGAAGCAUCACGGGCAAGACAGCAUUCGAGAUGAAAAAGAUGCUGCGGAAAGCGCUCGCAACGCCAGACGCCAGUGGCCGCGACAAAUUGUUUGCAUAUGUCGCAAGCGAAUGUCAUCGCGCGCCGUGACGGUAAAUUGUGAAAGAAAAAACCGGAGAGUGACACUUCCGUAGGUUUACUUGUCAGUGUCAGUGUUCGAUUGGCAGUACCAAUGCGCACUUGGCUAGUGUCACGUGUUCGUUUGACCGCACCAUCGACUUAGCAUGGACUGCGCCAUCCCUCUUAUAUUCCCAUGCAAAAGUGGGUCCAGAAAAAAGAGUGAGAUAGCAAUAGUGAGAAGCAAAUACAGAAACAGUUCAAAAUACAUUCGCAGCAGCUUCGAUGAAUGUAAACUUUUGUAGUGAAGCAAAUACAGAAACAGUUCAACAAACUGAUCUAAAUGAGAUAAAAAGGUAUUUAAUUUAAAGCAUAAGGUAUUAAAGACUUUUCAAGAUAUUUAACUUUUAUUCCCAGUAAGCACAAAAACAUUGCUGCAAUAAUAUUAUAACGUUACCUACUAACAUAGUAACGUUUCCAAGUAUGUAGUUUUUAACGUUGUAUACAACGUCAUUAUGAAUAAACUUUGAUUUGGAAGUUUC